UUGUUCUAAUUAAUAUUUUAUUCUUCAACAUUUUUAAAGACUCCAAUAUAUUAGACAAAGAAUUUUUUGAUAAUGUAAGUUAAUUUCUCUGGAGACAACCAUAUAAUCCUCUAAAAUGACAUGAACGUUUAUAUAUGGGACUGAAGUUUCUGCAGUCUAUAUAUACCUCUUUGGGAGGAAAAAAGUAAAGUACUGACAAUUCAAUUUUAACAAAAAAAAUGCUUUCCUUAUCAAACAUUAAUGUUGUGUACAUGAACCUAUCAUCUGUGACAGCAAGGAACUCAAGCCAGGUGAUGCACAAGCCUUCACCCAGCUCAGUUAGCUUGGGCUUCUCCUGUACCAGAUUUGCCUGAAGUAACAUGAGGUUAUUUAAAAAGACCUCCACCUAGGUUGCAGUGAGCAGAGAUUGUGCCACUGCACUCCAG
This 425-nucleotide long non-coding RNA is filed under the name Homo sapiens (human). RNAcentral's name for it is "HSALNT0320048". Lineage: Eukaryota; Metazoa; Chordata; Mammalia; Primates; Hominidae. The record is from RNAcentral.